RNAcentral lists this ribosomal RNA (484 nucleotides) under uncultured bacterium. RNAcentral describes it as "partial 16S ribosomal RNA". It matches the Rfam family "Bacterial small subunit ribosomal RNA", at positions 30 to 507 of the family's 1533-position model. The record is from RNAcentral.
AUUGAACGCUGGCGGCAGGCCUAACACAUGCAAGUCGAGCGGAUGAACGGAGCUUGCUCCUGGAUUCAGCGGCGGACGGGUGAGUAAUGCCUAGGAAUCUGCCUGGUAGUGGGGGAUAACGUCCGGAAACGGGCGCUAAUACCGCAUACGUCCUGAGGGAGAAAGUGGGGGAUCUUCGGACCUCACGCUAUCAGAUGAGCCUAGGUCGGAUUAGCUAGUUGGUGGGGUAAAGGCCUACCAAGGCGACGAUCCGUAACUGGUCUGAGAGGAUGAUCAGUCACACUGGAACUGAGACACGGUCCAGACUCCUACGGGAGGCAGCAGUGGGGAAUAUUGGACAAUGGGCGAAAGCCUGAUCCAGCCAUGCCGCGUGUGUGAAGAAGGUCUUCGGAUUGUAAAGCACUUUAAGUUGGGAGGAAGGGCAGUAAGUUAAUACCUUGCUGUUUUGACGUUACCAGCAGAAUAAGCACCGGCUAACUUCGUG